Molecule: long non-coding RNA, 1136 nt
Organism: Oryzias melastigma (Indian medaka)
Lineage: Eukaryota; Metazoa; Chordata; Actinopteri; Beloniformes; Adrianichthyidae
Exons: 2
Source: RefSeq, a predicted model, not a curated record
CAAAAACACAAGAAAACCUGAAGCGACGUUUGCAGACAAGCCAGCCUGAAAUCCACGGAAAGUGUUUUUGGAGCUGUUGGAAGAUGAAGCCACCUCAGCUUUGGAAACCUUACUCAUGCUGUGGUUGUGACUUUGGCUGAAGCUGAGAGUGAGGUUCAGUGCUACACAGCCUUGGGAAAAGCUCUGGAUCUUAAUCAGGACCCGGUUGGAAUCCUCCAUAACUUUUAUCUGGGAAACCGGGGACUGAUGGAUCUGAGGGGACAGAGAAAGUCAUCAAAGUGGCUGAGGCACAAAGGGCUUCAGGAAAUAUUUCUCUCACACUCUUGGAUGGAGCCGCUGGAUAAAAGGUGCAGAUCCUCACCUUCUCAAUGGAACUCUCAGUGAGGUUUUGGUCAGCCUGUCUGCAGGGGUUCAUCAUGCUGGAUGUAAACUGGAUGUUGGUGAGCUGUGCUGUGUUAUCAAGAGCUUGAACAUCUACAGAGGAAAGUCACAGAAAUUCUAAGGAAAGAUUCUAAGAUAAGAAGUUCUGCUCCAAACUGAUUUAGAGGAAAGAAACGUCUUUGCUUCCCUUAUCUUGGAGGUUUCAGUUUUAUUGCUGAAAAUAACAAAUAGCAGCUAAUUCCACUAUUAUUUAACCAUUUCUCAUCAUGUUUAUAAUAUAUUGAUGUAACAAUUAACAACAUUCAGUAAUUAGAUACCUGUAUCUGUACCUCAAAGCUAGAGCAACAGUCAACUCACCAGUUUGGAGUAACAUGAGAAGAGUUUCCCCUUUCUGUUCACAUGCAGUGGAGGAGAUGCUGUGAUGCUGCAGUCCACCCGACUCUGUCCUGUUUCUACUAGCUUCCCAACAAUGAAGAAGCGCUGAUCCUCUGCUCACAGAAACCCAGAACAUCUGGUUUGUCUCAAAGUCUGCUGACCAGUAAACAGAGAUGGAGGUUCUGGAGCUGCCAGCCGGCCAUGAGCCCGAGGUGCUGUCAGGAGCUGGGAGGGUGUUCAGGAGGAGACAGAAGACUUCAUUAUUCAGAUUUAAACAGACUUUUUUUGGAAAAUCAUUCUAUAAUGUACAAAAAAUGCAUUUUUGAUUAAGUUGAAGUCUCAGUUUUGGACCCUUCAAAAUAAAAGUCUAUCGCAAUGGA